CAGCUACCUGUGUGAUUGAGUUCCUCUAUCAUCAGUCCCGACUGAAUUAGGGUUAAGGUGAACUCGGCAAACCCAACAUCAGUCAUAUGAUUUAAUUGAUCGAUCCAAGUCCAAUGUGAAACCCCAAUGAAAAACUCUUUGCCAUUAUUUCACUCUGCCAUGGCCAUGGGCUUAAGGACUCGAUCUUUCGAUCAUCAUAGGACUACUCCUCUUAUCUAUCGAGGUUGAUAGAUCCCAUCUUGGUGCGACCUAGUUCCUACAAUGAAUAUGCUACAGCCAACAUACAACUCA
Molecule: long non-coding RNA, 291 nt
Filed under: Elaeis guineensis (African oil palm)
Lineage: Eukaryota; Viridiplantae; Streptophyta; Magnoliopsida; Arecales; Arecaceae
Description: long non-coding RNA (EGUI_LNC050488)
Source: RNAcentral